Molecule: ribosomal RNA, 492 nt
Filed under: uncultured bacterium
Lineage: Bacteria
Description: partial 16S ribosomal RNA
Rfam family: Bacterial small subunit ribosomal RNA
Source: RNAcentral
AGUGAACGCUGGCAGUAGGCCUAACACAUGCAAGUCGAACGGCAGCACAGUAAGAGCUUGCUCUUACGGGUGGCGAGUGGCGGACGGGUGAGGAAUACAUCGGAAUCUACUUUUUCGUGGGGGAUAACGUAGGGAAACUUACGCUAAUACCGCAUACGACCUACGGGUGAAAGCAGGGGAUCUUCGGACCUUGCGCGAUUGAAUGAGCCGAUGUCGGAUUAGCUAGUUGGCGGGGUAAAGGCCCACCAAGGCGACGAUCCGUAGCUGGUCUGAGAGGAUGAUCAGCCACACUGGAACUGAGACACGGUCCAGACUCCUACGGGAGGCAGCAGUGGGGAAUAUUGGACAAUGGGCGCAAGCCUGAUCCAGCCAUACUGCGUGGGUGAAGAAGGCCUUCGGGUUGUAAAGCCCUUUUGUUGGGAAAGAAAAGCAGCAGGUUAAUACCCCGCUGUUCUGACGGUACCCAAAGAAUAAGCACCGGCUAACUUCGUG